GCUUUGUGGGCUCAGUGGCAGAGCAUAUGCUUAGCAUGCAUGAGGCCUGAGGUUCAAUCCUCAGCAUACCA
RNAcentral lists this transfer RNA (71 nucleotides) under Heterocephalus glaber (naked mole-rat). It matches the Rfam family "tRNA". Rfam says of the family: Transfer RNA (tRNA) molecules are approximately 80 nucleotides in length. Their secondary structure includes four short double-helical elements and three loops (D, anti-codon, and T loops). Lineage: Eukaryota; Metazoa; Chordata; Mammalia; Rodentia; Bathyergidae. The record is from Rfam by way of RNAcentral.